Molecule: ribosomal RNA, 120 nt
Filed under: Pseudogymnoascus sp. VKM F-4513 (FW-928)
Lineage: Eukaryota; Fungi; Ascomycota; Leotiomycetes; Thelebolales; Thelebolaceae
Source: RNAcentral
ACAUACGACCAUAGACUCAAGAGAACUGGGCAUCCCGUCCGCUCUGCCAUACAUAACCUUGAGAUCGGUGGAUUAGUAGUUGGGUGGGUGGCCACCAGGGAAUACCCACUGUUGGAUGUC